RNAcentral lists this transfer RNA (65 nucleotides) under Cherax cairnsensis. RNAcentral describes it as "tRNA-Thr". It matches the Rfam family "tRNA". Rfam says of the family: Transfer RNA (tRNA) molecules are approximately 80 nucleotides in length. Their secondary structure includes four short double-helical elements and three loops (D, anti-codon, and T loops). The record is from RNAcentral. Lineage: Eukaryota; Metazoa; Arthropoda; Malacostraca; Decapoda; Parastacidae.
AGUUUUAAUAGUUUAAUUUAAAAAUUUUGGUUUUGUAAACCAAAGAUGAAUUUCCAUCUUAAAAC